RNAcentral lists this ribosomal RNA (424 nucleotides) under uncultured prokaryote. Its description in RNAcentral is "bacterial SSU rRNA". It matches the Rfam family "Bacterial small subunit ribosomal RNA", at positions 355 to 796 of the family's 1533-position model. The record is from RNAcentral.
UGGGGAAUAUUAGGCAAUGGGGGAAACCCUGACCUAGCCAUGCCGCGUGGGUGAAGAAGGUCCUAGGAUUGUAAAGCUCUUUCAGCAGGGAAGAUGAUGACGGUACCUGCAGAAGAAGCCCCGGCUAACUCCGUGCCAGCAGCCGCGGUAAUACGGAGGGGGCUAGCGUUGUUCGGAAUUACUGGGCGUAAAGAGCGUGUAGGUGGCUUAUUAAGUCAGAGGUGAAAUCCCCGGGCUCAACCUGGGAACUGCCUUUGAUACUGGUAAGCUAGAGUUCGGGAGAGGGUAGUGGAAUUCCCAGUGUAGAGGUGAAAUUCGUAGAUAUUGGGAAGAACACCAGUGGCGAAGGCGGCUACCUGGACCGAUACUGACACUGAGACGCGAAAGCGUGGGGAGCAAACAGGAUUAGAUACCCCCGUAGUCC